RNAcentral lists this ribosomal RNA (400 nucleotides) under uncultured bacterium. RNAcentral's name for it is "bacterial SSU rRNA". It matches the Rfam family "Bacterial small subunit ribosomal RNA", at positions 355 to 753 of the family's 1533-position model. The record is from RNAcentral.
UGAGGAAUAUUGGUCAAUGGGCGCUAGCCUGAACCAGCCAAGUCGCGUGAGGGAAGAAUGGUCUAUGGCCUGUAAACCUCUUUUUCAAGGGAAGAAUAAGCGGUACGCGUACCGUGAUGCCAGUACCUUGCGAAUAAGCAUCGGCUAACUCCGUGCCAGCAGCCGCGGUAAUACGGGGGAUGCGAGCGUUAUCCGGAUUUAUUGGGUUUAAAGGGCGCGUAGGCGGGAUGCCAAGUCAGCGGUAAAAGACUGCAGCUAAACUGUAGCACGCCGUUGAAACUGGCGACCUAGAGACAAGUCGAGGGAGGCGGAACAAGUGAAGUAGCGGUGAAAUGCUUAGAUAUCACUUGGAACCCCGAUAGCGAAGGCAGCUUCCCAGCCUUGAUCUGACGCUGAUGCG